ACAAUACCGCAUAUGCUUUUUCGAAAGCAAAGCUCGCAAGGGCGCCUUGGGAUGGGCCUGUGGCCGAUUAGCUAGUUGGUGAGGUAAGAGCUCACCAAGGCCACGACCGGUAGCUGGUCUGAGAGGAUGGUCAGCCACACUGGGAUUGAGAACGGCCCAGACUCCUACGGGGGGCAGCAGUGAAGGAAUUUUCGUCAAUGGGGGCAACCCUGAACGAGCAACUCCGCGUGCAGGAGGACGCUUUUCGGAGUGUAAACUGCUUUUCUUGGGGACCGAGAACGGACGGUACCCAAGGAACAAGCCCCGGCUAACUACGUGCCAGCAGCCGCGGUAAUACGUAGGGGGCGAGCGUUGUCCGGAGUUACUGGGCGUAAAGCGCACGCAGGCGGUUUCGUACGUCUGGAGUGACAGUUCCCGGCUCAACUGGGAAAGGUCUUCGGAAACGGCGAGACUUGAGGGCUUCAGAGGGACACGGAAUUCCGGGUGGAGUGGUGAAAUGCGUAGAGAUCCGGAGGAACACCAAUGGCGAAGGCAGUGUCCUGGGAAGCAUCUGACGCUCAGGUGCGAAAGCUAGGGGAGCGAACA
RNAcentral lists this ribosomal RNA (585 nucleotides) under uncultured bacterium. Its description in RNAcentral is "bacterial SSU rRNA". It matches the Rfam family "Bacterial small subunit ribosomal RNA", at positions 163 to 774 of the family's 1533-position model. The record is from RNAcentral.